Molecule: ribosomal RNA, 497 nt
Filed under: uncultured bacterium
Lineage: Bacteria
Description: partial 16S ribosomal RNA
Rfam family: Bacterial small subunit ribosomal RNA
Source: RNAcentral
GAUGAACGCUGGCGGCGUGCCUAAUACAUGCAAGUCGAGCGAACGGACGAGAAGCUUGCUUUUCUGAUGUUAGCGGCGGACGGGUGAGUAACACGUGGAUAACCUACCUAUAAGACUGGGAUAACUUCGGGAAACCGGAGCUAAUACCGGAUAAUAUUUUGAACCGCAUGGUUCAAAAGUGAAAGACGGUCUUGCUGUCACUUAUAGAUGGAUCCGCGCUGCAUUAGCUAGUUGGUAAGGUAACGGCUUACCAAGGCAACGAUGCAUAGCCGACCUGAGAGGGUGAUCGGCCACACUGGAACUGAGACACGGUCCAGACUCCUACGGGAGGCAGCAGUAGGGAAUCUUCCGCAAUGGGCGAAAGCCUGACGGAGCAACGCCGCGUGAGUGAUGAAGGUCUUCGGAUCGUAAAACUCUGUUAUUAGGGAAGAACAUAUGUGUAAGUAAUUGUGCACAUCUUGACGGUACCUAAUCAGAAAGCCACGGCUAACUACGUG